Molecule: ribosomal RNA, 324 nt
Filed under: Triticum aestivum (bread wheat)
Lineage: Eukaryota; Viridiplantae; Streptophyta; Magnoliopsida; Poales; Poaceae
Description: partial small subunit ribosomal RNA
Source: RNAcentral
AUGGAGCAAUCGUCGGACCGUCGGAACAUUGAUGGCGCUGCAAGGGAGCUUCCCCGAUGCUAUGAUGGAGCAUCGUCGGAUCACCGGGAUAUGGCCGCUGCCAUGAUGGAGCAUUAUCGGACCGCCGGAACAUCGAUGGCAAUGCAAGGGAGCAUUACUGGUGCUACAAUGGAGCAUCGUCGGGCCGUCGAAACAUUGGCGGAGCUGCAACAGAGCAUCGUCAAGCCGUUGGAGCAUCACUGGCGCUGCAAUGGAGCAUCGUCCGGUCGCUGGGGCAUCCACGAUGCUAUGAUGGAACAUUCGUCGAAACAUCAACGACGGUAA